CGCCCGCUUCCCUACUCCUAUCUCUCUCUCUGGCGAUUCCAGAGAUCUGGAUAUAGGGUUUUUCGCCAGGCGAUUCAAGGUCUAGCCUCUCAUUUACACCAGAUCGAUAAACAAAUCUCAAUGCAUUCUCCAUUCAGAUCUCAAUCUCAUCUCACACCUGCUCUCUCUCUCUCUCUCUCUCUUCAACCUUGGUGAUACGGCUACUACUCAGAAGGAUCUUACGUCUGUUACUACCGUCAAUGUGUGGUGGUGGUUCUGCGACUCGGCAAUGAAAACGGAUGAAGAAACGAUUUUUGUUGUAGAUGAAGACACGAGCCAAUGAGGUUACACGACUAAGGAAUAUGACAACCAAAACUUUGCAGAUCUGAGUUUUUAGAGGAAUAUUAACAGCCCAGAUCUGUGUUCCGGUGGUUUCUACAAAAGUCACACGUAACAAGCAAUCUGGUCAAUCUGAGGGUUAUGGUUUCAUUGAGUUUGUUAACCGAGCAGCUGCAGAAAGGCAUCUACAGGCAUAUAAUAGUAUUUGAUGCCCAAUGUUGAGCAGCUCUUUACGUUGAACUGGGCUUCCUUUGGUGCUGGUGAAAGAAACCAAGAUGACACACCCGAUUACACUAUAUUUGUGGGGGAUUUGGCAGCUGAUGUUACGAACGAUAUCUUACUAGAGACGAGUUAUUGUAUUCUGUUUAAUCCUUCAAAUAUUGUCAUGUUCAUUUUUAUAACUGUGUGGCAAAUUUGGCUUGUUGGGAAUUAGUCAACACGGGUUUUUUUUUUCUGACAGAUCAAACAGAAGCUCUGAACAAGGGGGAGAUUCCCUCAACAGGGUCUCUUGUGGAGGUAUUCAACAAGAAAAUUGGUAGAGAUGUCUGAAGACAAAUUGAGAUCCCUUGUGAAGAAACGACAGUCUUUGAAUGAGGCCCACAUGAUGGUUGCUUGUGAUGUGACUCCUCUCCUCUCCAUUUGCUCUAAAGCUAUUAUCUAUGAUAAUUUUCAUUGGUGUUUGGGUUUAAAGAAUCGGGUCAGCUAUGCAUUCGGGUUAUUAAACUGGCUGCUAAAAAGUCUUGGGAAGUUUGGUUUAAAUCUUACCUUUUUAUCAUAUCCUGACCAUCUGUUUUUCUUGUACUUCAUCUUAUGGCUGACAUGUUAUUGGGCUACAUUUUCUGUAAAUUUGAAAGUUUCAAGAUUUUAUCAUGCAACAUUCUGGUUUUAUUAAUCUGAAAGCAGUUAUAAGUUAUUUGGAGCAUAAUGUCCAGCGAAGAUAUAUUGCGGAAGAAUGGAGGGUUGUAUUAGUUUGGCUUGUUUCCAAUGUGUAUUAGAGAGUUUGACAUUUGGGUGGCUUGUUUCCAAUGUGUAUUCGAGAGUUUGAUGUUUGUGUGUCCGUGACUUUUAGAUGUAAUUCGCACUUUGUAGGCCAGUUUCUGUCUGGUCGUUUUUGUUAUUUGAUUUAUUUUUUUUGCCGUUAAAA
This is a long non-coding RNA of Helianthus annuus (common sunflower), 1462 nucleotides long. RefSeq lists it as uncharacterized. Lineage: Eukaryota; Viridiplantae; Streptophyta; Magnoliopsida; Asterales; Asteraceae. The transcript is spliced from 6 exons. The record is from RefSeq and is a predicted model, not a curated record.